AGUGAACGCUGGCGGUAGGCCUAACACAUGCAAGUCGAACGGCAGCACAAGGGAGCUUGCUCCCUGGGUGGCGAGUGGCGGACGGGUGAGGAAUACAUCGGAAUCUACCUUGUCGUGGGGGAUAACCUCGGGAAACCGGGACUAAUACCGCAUACGACCUCGGUGAAGUAGGGAGUCGCAAGACCUUACGCGAUUAGAUG
Molecule: ribosomal RNA, 200 nt
Filed under: uncultured bacterium
Lineage: Bacteria
Description: partial 16S ribosomal RNA
Rfam family: Bacterial small subunit ribosomal RNA
Source: RNAcentral